GAUGAACGCUGGCGGCGUGCUUAACACAUGCAAGUCGAACGGUGAAGGCGGAGCUUGCUCUGCUGGAUCAGUGGCGAACGGGUGAGUAACACGUGAGCAAUCUGCCCCUGACUCUGGGAUAAGCGCUGGAAACGGCGUCUAAUACUGGAUACGAGCUGCGAAGGCAUCUUCAGCAGCUGGAAAGAAUUUCGGUCAGGGAUGAGCUCGCGGCCUAUCAGCUUGUUGGUGAGGUAAUGGCUCACCAAGGCGUCGACGGGUAGCCGGCCUGAGAGGGUGACCGGCCACACUGGGACUGAGACACGGCCCAGACUCCUACGGGAGGCAGCAGUGGGGAAUAUUGCACAAUGGGCGAAGGCCUGAUGCAGCAACGCCGCGUGAGGGACGACGGCCUUCGGGUUGUAAACCUCUUUUAGCAGGGAAGAAGCGAAAGUGACGGUACCUGCAGAAAAAGCGCCGGCUAACUACGUG
This 468-nucleotide ribosomal RNA is filed under the name uncultured bacterium. RNAcentral's name for it is "partial 16S ribosomal RNA". It matches the Rfam family "Bacterial small subunit ribosomal RNA", at positions 28 to 507 of the family's 1533-position model. The record is from RNAcentral.